UGGCUGUAGCUAAAUUAAACACGCCGAGGAGUUUACUGGCCGGUUGUUGUGAUAGCUAUCGACUGAUCUGCUUACCGAACUUCUCACAAUU
Small nucleolar RNA from Cannabis sativa, 91 nucleotides. RefSeq annotates it as small nucleolar RNA snoR109. The transcript has a single exon. The record is from RefSeq and is a predicted model, not a curated record. Lineage: Eukaryota; Viridiplantae; Streptophyta; Magnoliopsida; Rosales; Cannabaceae.